Molecule: non-coding RNA, 301 nt
Organism: Schizosaccharomyces pombe (fission yeast)
Lineage: Eukaryota; Fungi; Ascomycota; Schizosaccharomycetes; Schizosaccharomycetales; Schizosaccharomycetaceae
Source: the annotation of a GenBank genome assembly
AACUUUUAAUUUGUUGGUAUAACUUCUUGCUGCGAUUUAAUUUAAGUACCACAUCCUUAACCUUUUCGAGGUAUCGUUUCUGUGCGCCUGAAUCGGAAGGAAGCUUUUCAAGAAUGGGGUUUUUAGCACCCAAUUUAUGUAGUACCAAUGCUCUCAAUUCUACUCCUCUCAGUCCUAAUGAUUUAAGGCGUGAAGGCGUUGACUUUACAAGAUACUCGUCAAGACCGCCUUCCUUGUCAAUGGUCCGCAAAACUCGGGACGUGACAUACAAAUGAAACUUUUCUUCUAAAACAUUUGAAUA